RNAcentral lists this ribosomal RNA (433 nucleotides) under uncultured bacterium. Its description in RNAcentral is "partial 16S ribosomal RNA". It matches the Rfam family "Bacterial small subunit ribosomal RNA", at positions 29 to 507 of the family's 1533-position model. The record is from RNAcentral.
AACGAACGCUGGCCGCAUGCCUAACACAUGCAAGUCGAACGAGACCUUCGGGUCUAGUGGCGCCCGGGUGCGUAACGCUUGGGAACCUGCCCUUAGGUUCGGAAUAACUCCCCGAAAGGGGUGCUAAUACCGGAUAAUGUCUCCGGACCAAAGAUUUAUCGCCUUUGGAUGGGCCCGCGUUGGAUUAGCUAGUUGGUAGGGUAAAAGCCUACCAAGGCGACGAUCCAUAGCUGGUCUGAGAGGAUGAUCAGCCACGCUGGGACUGAGACACGGCCCAGACUCCUACGGGAGGCAGCAGUGGGGAAUAUUGGACAAUGGGCGAAAGCCUGAUACAGCAAUGCCGCGUGAGAGAUGAAGGCCUUAGGGUUGUAAAGCUCUUUUAGCCGGGAUGAUAAUGACGGUACCGGGAGAAUGCGCUCCGGCUGAGUCCGUG